Small nuclear RNA from Cavia aperea (Brazilian guinea pig), 103 nucleotides. The record is from Ensembl. NCBI's taxonomy places the organism in Eukaryota, Metazoa, Chordata, Mammalia, Rodentia, Caviidae.
UGCUUGCUUCUGAAGCACAUUACUGAAAUUGGGAUAAUACAGAGAAGACUGGCAUGACCUCUGCACAAGGAUGACAUUUAGGAAAGAUAUUAAAGAUUAUUUU